This 1375-nucleotide ribosomal RNA is filed under the name uncultured bacterium. Its description in RNAcentral is "bacterial SSU rRNA". It matches the Rfam family "Bacterial small subunit ribosomal RNA". The record is from RNAcentral.
AAGAGUUUGAUCCUGGCUCAGGACGAACGCUGGCGGCGUGCCUAACACAUGCAAGUCGAACGGAGAAUUUCAAGAUGUUUACAUGGCGAAAUUCUUAGUGGCGGUAACCUACCCAUAAACCCGGGACAACCCUUGGAAACGAGGGCUAAUACCGGAUAAUCUUGGAAAGCGGCAUCGCUUUGCAAGGAAAGGUGGCCUCUGUAUAUGCUACCGAUUAUGGAUGGACCCGCGUCUGAUUAGCUAGUUGGUGGGGUAAAGGCCUACCAAGGCGACGAUCAGUAGCCGGCCUGAGAGGGUGACCGGCCACACUGGAACUGAGAUACGGUCCAGACUCCUACGGGAGGCAGCAGUGGGGAAUCUUGCGCAAUGGGCGCAAGCCUGACCCAGCAAUGCCGCGUGAAGGAUGAAGGUUUUCGGAUUGUAAACUUCUGUCCUCAAGGACGAAGGUUUGACGGUACCUGACUAAGAAGCCCCGGCUAACUACGUGCCAGCAGCCGCGGUAAUACGUAGGGGGCGAGCGUUGUCCGGAAUUACUGGGCGUAAAGGGUGCGUAGGCGGUUUAUUAAGUUGGAUGUGAAAUACCCGGGCUUAACUUGGGAGGUGCAUCCAAAACUGGUAGACUAGAGUACAGGAGAGGGAAGCGGAAUUCCUAGUGUAGCGGUGAAAUGCGUAGAUAUUAGGAGGAACACCAGUGGCGAAGGCGGCUUUCUGGACUGACACUGACGCUGAGGCACGAAAGCGUGGGGAGCAAACAGGAUUAGAUACCCUGGUAGUCCACGCUGUAAACGAUGAAUACUAGGUGUAGGGGGUAUCAACUCCCCCUGUGCCGGAGCAAACGCAAUAAGUAUUCCGCCUGGGGAGUACGGCCGCAAGGUUGAAACUCAAAGGAAUUGACGGGGGCCCGCACAAGCAGCGGAGCAUGUGGUUUAAUUCGAAGCAACGCGAAGAACCUUACCAAGGCUUGACAUCCUGCUAAACUCAUGGAAACAUGAGGUCCCUUCGGGGGAGCAGAGACAGGUGGUGCAUGGUUGUCGUCAGCUCGUGUCGUGAGAUGUUGGGUUAAGUCCCGCAACGAGCGCAACCCUUGUUGCCAGUUACCAGCGAGUAAAGUCGGGGACUCUGGUGAGACUGCCGGGGACAACUCGGAGGAAGGUGGGGACGACGUCAAAUCAUCAUGCCCCUUAUGUCUUGGGCUACACACGUGCUACAAUGGCUGAAACAAAGGGUAGCGAAGCCGCAAGGUGAAGCGAAUCUCAAAAAAGCUGUCUCAGUUCGGAUCGUGGGCUGCAACCCGCCCACGUGAAGUCGGAGUUGCUAGUAAUCGCGAAUCAUCAUGUCGCGGUGAAUACGUUCCCGGGCCUUGUACACACCGCCC